Molecule: ribosomal RNA, 253 nt
Filed under: uncultured bacterium
Lineage: Bacteria
Description: partial 16S ribosomal RNA
Rfam family: Bacterial small subunit ribosomal RNA
Source: RNAcentral
UACGUAGGGGGCAAGCGUUGUCCGGAUUUAUUGGGCGUAAAGAGCGUGUAGGCGGCCGGAUAGGUCCGUUGUGAAAACUCGAGGCUCAACCUCGAGACGCCGAUGGAAACCAUUUGGCUAGAGUCCGGAAGAGGAGAGUGGAAUUCCUGGUGUAGCGGUGAAAUGCGCAGAUAUCAGGAAGAACACCCGUGGCUAAGGCGGCUCUCUAGUACGGUACUGACGCUGAGACGCGAAAGCGUGGGGAGCGAACAGG